AUGAAGUGCAGGGACGUCUGUGAAGGAAGAGGGGAAAAGAAUAGCGGGACAAAAACCACUCUGGGCCGGGAAAUGCCCCUGCUACCUGCUAUUUACCCUAUAGCAGCCGCUAUAGUGUUCUGCACCUCUAAGGCUUUUCCCAUAGCGGCUGGUCUCCGCUCCGCUACAGCGGGAUUGUGCCGCUAUUGGCCGCUAUUGACUACUCUAGAAUAUAUUGUAUCAGAUAUUAGUAUUGAAUAUUAG
Vicia faba (fava bean) is the source of this 243-nucleotide non-coding RNA. The record is from the annotation of a GenBank genome assembly. NCBI's taxonomy places the organism in Eukaryota, Viridiplantae, Streptophyta, Magnoliopsida, Fabales, Fabaceae.